AGAUGUGAGGACCUGGCUGUUACCUCAUUGAUCUCCAUAGUUGAUUCGAUUAGCUGGUCUGGCUGGGUGGUUGAAUGUACCCUUCCUUUCUCCCUCUAUGUUCUCCAUGUGAAUCCCUCCCCAAAAUGUGUGUUCUGUCAAAGACAGAGAUGGACUGAUCUUCAGUCAAAGGUGUAACUGUGUCCCCCUGCUAGAACCUUCAAGCAAGCUCUCAAGAAGUCUGGUAAAAGAAAUGACAUGUGGUUUCAAGUCAGUGUCUUGUUUAUCACCCAAUCUGAGGUGCCACUU
This is an unclassified non-coding RNA of Erinaceus europaeus (western European hedgehog), 288 nucleotides long. Its record names the gene 7SK. It matches the Rfam family "7SK RNA". From Rfam's summary of the family: 7SK was discovered as an abundant small nuclear RNA in the mid-70s but a possible function has only recently been suggested. Two independent studies have found that 7SK RNA binds the CDK9/cyclin T complex (known as elongation factor P-TEFb). The record is from Ensembl. NCBI's taxonomy places the organism in Eukaryota, Metazoa, Chordata, Mammalia, Eulipotyphla, Erinaceidae.